UCUGAAGUUCGCAAUUAGCAACUACUAACUACUGCAGGUGGGGAAGAUUUGGCUUUAAUUGUGUGCCUGAUGAAGAGAAAAAAGUACUAAGUAGUAUUAACAGAAAAAAGAAAAUCUAAAGAAUCUGAAACUCCUGUUUCAGUUCUCCUAGUCUCAAUUAUGUGGAAUCUAUAGAAUUGAGUAAACAGCAAAUAUCAAACAUUGGGAAAAAAUGGAACAGCAAUACAACGUGGCAAAUUAAAUACUCUAAAUUGUUUAUGCAAAUAUCAUACAGUGCAAAUAGAAUCUAUAGUGAAACUUCAUUCAUCUGAACCCAUUAAAAGGAACCAACAGUUCACAUAAUUGGAUCGUUCAUUAUAACAUUUUAAAACUUUAUUUAUUGGAACAAAAUUCUAGGUAAUGUCCAAUGAACAUAUUGAAUACUAGGUAAAUACAAGGUAAAAUACUAUGACAUACUUUAUUAGAAAAUAAAAU
This 474-nucleotide unclassified non-coding RNA is filed under the name Bombus terrestris (buff-tailed bumblebee). Its description in RNAcentral is "misc RNA ENSBTSG00005020786.1". The record is from RNAcentral. Lineage: Eukaryota; Metazoa; Arthropoda; Insecta; Hymenoptera; Apidae.